AGCCUGGUGGUGUAAUGGUAGCACAGGAGUUUUUGGUACUCUUAGUUGGGGUUCGAGUCCCUGCCGGGCUGCCA
Molecule: transfer RNA, 74 nt
Filed under: Opitutia bacterium
Lineage: Bacteria; Pseudomonadati; Verrucomicrobiota; Opitutia
Also listed under: 1 other name
Description: Opitutae bacterium tRNA-Gln
Rfam family: tRNA
About the family: Transfer RNA (tRNA) molecules are approximately 80 nucleotides in length. Their secondary structure includes four short double-helical elements and three loops (D, anti-codon, and T loops). Further hydrogen bonds mediate the characteristic L-shaped molecular structure. tRNAs have two regions of fundamental functional importance: the anti-codon, which is responsible for specific mRNA codon recognition, and the 3' end, to which the tRNAs corresponding amino acid is attached (by aminoacyl-tRNA synthetases). tRNAs cope with the degeneracy of the genetic code in two manners: having more than one tRNA (with a specific anti-codon) for a particular amino acid; and 'wobble' base-pairing, i.e. permitting non-standard base-pairing at the 3rd anti-codon position.
Source: RNAcentral